Molecule: long non-coding RNA, 3342 nt
Organism: Dermacentor silvarum
Lineage: Eukaryota; Metazoa; Arthropoda; Arachnida; Ixodida; Ixodidae
Exons: 2
Source: RefSeq, a predicted model, not a curated record
UACGAGAUGUAGCUAUACUGCACGUAACAAAUGCGAUGCUUUGCACUGCAGCUAUAGGCAAAGCAUCUCGAUCGAAAUGAAUGUGCUUGCACCGAGCAGGUAGUAACGAGUUGAAGUGAAUUUUAUCGCAGAAACACACACAAUCAACUCAUCGUUUUGCACGUUGGCUCACAACCACACCCGAUGAAUAUGUCUACUUUUUGAGAGAGAACAUGAACAUAUACUUUUGCAAUCAUAUAUACCGGCCUAUGUAAAGCAGCCUGGGAAUAUUAAAGCAUGAGUUAGGAAACCUGCUGCACGAAUUCCUAUUCGUUAUAUCAGCUACUGCACAAGCACAAACAAAAAGUUUGCUACAUCAGUCAAUCUAGAUACUUUAUUCAAGCCCCAUUAAAUGAAAUACUGCCAAAAAUUACCACCAAGCUAAAGUUUUGACACAUUCAGUGAAAUCCAAACCGAAACCAAACGUGGAAUGGCCAAUGCAAUGUAUCGCUUGGCAACACUGGUAAGCUUGCUGCGCCGGCAGCACAUGGACGGCAGCUGUCAGAUACCGAGGCCUGUUUUCGUGUGUAAUUUUCGUUCGUGCAUCCGUGUUAACGCAAUGUUCUCCGCGGUUUGUGUGUUAUUCGUGAACGCAAUCGGAACGAGUCCUCAUCAACGCAGUUUAACGCGACUGUAAGUAAAGGGAAGCAGCGGGCGCCUUCACCGGCGCGGCCCUCGGCGAUCGCUUUGUUUGUAUGUGUCGCGCGCACGGUUCAACUUUUGAAUACCGUGGCUGCGCGUUGUCGCAGUGCAGUGAUGAUUAUAUGCCAGUGCUCAUCGUGAAACUGCACAAACCGCGUCACUGCUGAUGGAGCUGCCACGUACGUAGACGGCGGCGCCCGAGAAGACCUUUUCUGAAGAGAAUGCGUGCCUGGCGAUUGUCACUUGCAGUCGCAACUUUUACAAAGUGGCAGCUGGCCUCCAUGGGGCGGUGCAGACAGGGGACUGUCAUUGCUGGAGCACCUCCUGGCUAUCCACAGGAAAUGGAAAAAACAUGGUAAAUUCAAACCCCCUCUGGUUCUCAUUUUCAUGUUUCCAUAAGUGUGUGUGUGUUCAUCACCCUGAAGUUACUUAAAUUUGAAAACGAAGCCAUAUAAAGUAUACUCAUGGUCUCACGUAGUGCAUUAUUAAACAUAAAAGUACAAAAUCACGCAGCUUAAGAACCUCAAAGAUAAUUUGUAGCGGAUCAGUCACUGCAGAGGUCAGGAUAUGUAUUGUCGAUGCUCGCAGACAAUAGAAUUGCAGACUUGUUCAUCAUUAAAAGCAAUUAUACAUUUAGGGUGUGAACAUUUGGUAAUGGUUUGAGUGAAUGCUAGAGACGACUGCAUGAAUAUGCCACCCCUAACGUAAUGCCCUGACAGAGGCCCUUAAAGAUGAAAUAAAUGACGAUAAGAAGCUUGGUAACAGAUUUGUGCAACGAGCGAAUUGUAGCACGCACAGGGAAAAAUACACGAGAAGGCACAAAGAAUACACACACGUAGCACUUCAUUGUGCCUUCUCAUAUCUUUGUUCCCUGUUCGCGCUACAGCUCGCUCAUUUCAACAUGAACAACCAACAAGCCCACAUCGCCACUCAGAUUUGUGCAGUUUCCUUCGAGUCAUAUUUGGGUAAAGUACCACAGACUAUAUUUUAAGUGAAAUAAGUUAUAUUUCCUCGUUUAAUUGGCCAACACUGUAGUUAGGCUCUGGGUAUAUUUUGGCCAGGUAUGUAUAUAUGUCAGUGCUACGUUUAUUAGAUUAUGUUUUAGAGUGAGUUGAAGUCAUAAUUAUAGAAAUUAAUACUUGUGAUCAUGAUAUUCUUGCCAUAAGUUUAUGCAAGGGACAUGUAAAUUUGGUCUUCAUAUAAGCAACAACAAAUGGAAAGUUGCUGACGAUUUUAUAGGCAUUGAAGAUGUCAACAUGUUAGCUUAUUUGGAUGCUUUUGUGUUGUCAUGUGGCCUAUAUCAUACGGGAUGGAAUUGAUGGCCAAAAUUGUGGACAUUUUAACCUCCCAAAGGCCAACAUCAUAUCUUUGAUAUGCUGAGCUUGAUGCCUGAAAAUGCUCAUUUACUGAUGAUAAACAUAAUGUGCAAUGCACUGUAGCAUUUCUGACAUGCUGCAACAGUUUCAGUUGUAGAUAGCUCAGCAAACUAAUGAGUAGUGAGUUACUCUUAGGUUAUAUAUAACUAAAAGAAAAUUUAGUUUUUCUUUUGUUUAUAUAUUCAUUGGGGGUGAUUGUAUGAGAAAGAAAGGUGAUCAGGUUCUAUUCUUCCUUCAUAUAGAAUUGUGUCUGCUUUCCGAACUUUAGGAAAGAUGUUCAAUUUGUCAGACACUGCCUGCAUAACACCACCUCCAUAAAUAGGAAGAACUGAUGUUCAUCCGUGAUACUCUAAGAACACUGCGAUGAAUCAUAGGUGCACAUAUAAAAGUAAUCACAAGAAGGGCAAUGCAUAGCAAGCAUCUGCAUCUAGAUCGAGAUAGUUAAAUUUUGGAUUAAGGUGAAACAUUGCAGAAGAGCUGCAUGCUGUACAUGAUAUGCAGGCUAAAUCAUUGAAGGUUGAUUCAUUGAAGGCAUUAUAAAAAUAAUGUUUUGCUAUUUUCUAAUAGCAGCCGGAGUAAUUGCUAUGAAAGAGAAAUAAAAUUUUUAAGGAAUAAAAUAAUUAGCUAGUGUCUAGUACAGAACUUACAGAAAUGAAAUUACUGAGUGCAAAUGUAUGGAAUAAGUUGUUUCACUUGGAGAGUGCUGCACAGGUCAUGGGGCCACUAGAAAAUUGUGAGGAUAUAAGGGAAGAGCGAAAGCAUGUGCAGUGAAAAUAUGGGCGAAAGUGUCUGUAAAGGAGCGAAAUCGAUUUUAAGACUCUUACUGUAAGCCGAUGAAUAGGGAUUUCAAGGUGGAGGAUUGCAAAGGUAUAGCUGAAUCUCUCUAUGAGCCAUUGUGACACACAUGAACAAUUUCCGUAGAAAAUGAGAAUCUAUUUAAGCACGUUACUGAGAGCAUAAUCACUGGAAAAUGGUAGAGCAGAGAUCGGUUUGCGUAAACACGGGUUUGGCGCUUACUUUCAACUGCAGUUUACUGAAGAAAUGUGAUAUUUAUAAGUACUGAACAAGACCAUCAUGGGGCAUCACAUUAAUGAUAAAGCAACCAAAUAUUGGAGUCACCAGGACCCCCUAAUACAACCACAUCAUAGCCAUGUGCCAUGACAGAUUGGUACGGCCUAGUAUACCAGAGGUGAUAAGAGACAAUCCAGAUUAUCGCACAGCAUGACGCUUGCCUCUAAAAAUAUGUGAAGGUAGGUUGAAGCAUGUGCGCUGGCCCAGCAAAUAA